RNA transcript from Thunnus maccoyii (southern bluefin tuna), 2157 nucleotides. It is a transcript of the gene named RAB28, member RAS oncogene family, with no coding region annotated. The transcript has 10 exons. The record is from RefSeq and is a predicted model, not a curated record. Lineage: Eukaryota; Metazoa; Chordata; Actinopteri; Scombriformes; Scombridae.
ACCGCAGGCGGCGGGGUUUCCGGUUCUGAUCUUUUCCUUUGUGAGAAAAAGGGGCUUCAGAGCGACAACGUUAAUAUUUACACAACAAAUCGUGUCUUGUGGUUUUUUUUGCAUUUUGUUUACGUCCGAUGUAUCAUUGUUUAAACAGAAACUCCGCGUGCACUGAGGCAGCAGUGUGUGAGUGGAUCAUGCCGAGCACAGCGGCUGUGUGUUGUGGAGUCAAAAUGGCGUCUGCUUGCCCACUCAACGGUCGUUUAAUCCAUCUGUGAUUAGCACUGGCAGCUACAUUCAACAACCAGUCACCAGCUGCUAGUGUUUCGUUUUCCUCCCCCACACAGAUAGCUACUUGUCGGGGCACAUUUUAGCAUCAUGUCGGACUCGGAGGAGGACAGCCAAGACCGACAGCUGAAAAUUGUAGUGAUUGGAGACGGUGCGUGUGGGAAGACAUCACUCGCCACCAGGUUUGCGCAGGAGGCCUUUGGGAAGCAGUACAAACAAACCAUCGGCCUGGAUUUCUUUCUGAAGAGAAUAAGCCUUCCAGGCAAUUUGAACGUGACCCUGCAGGUGUGGGAUAUUGGAGGACAAACGUUAGGAGGGAAAAUGCUGGAUAAAUAUGUAUACGGAGCUCAUGGCGUUCUCCUGGUGUACGACAUCACCAACUACCAGAGCUUUGAGAAUCUGGAGGAUUGGUUCAGUAUGGUGAAGAAGGCCAAUGAGGAAUGUGAUAUUCAGCCUGUUGUCUCCCUGAUAGGAAACAAAAUUGACAUGGAGCACAUGAGGACAGUGAAGGCUGACAAACACCAGCGCUUCUGCCAAGAGAACAGCCUCAUCAGUCAGUUCGUAUCGGCCAAGACAGGGGACUCGGUGUACCUUUGUUUUCAGAGAGUGGCUGCUGAGAUUCUCGGUAUAAAGCUCAACAAAGCAGAGAUAGAGCAGUCCCAGCGAGUGGUGAAGGCGGACAUUGUAAACUACAGUCAGGACACCGUGGCCAGGACAGUCAACCCCCCUCGCAGCUCCAUAGUGCCAGACCCGCAGCGUUGAGGGAGUAGGCAGGACUGAGUCAACCCCUCUGAUGAGCUCCAGUCCCCCUGGUCACCACACUGGCUCCUAUUCUCUGUUAGAGCGCAGCGGGCCAGCCAGCAGCAACAGGAGUGACAGGCAAAGCAAGGCAGGGCCUGCGCUAGGCCAGAGCUGGCAUCCAGUUAUUCAGAGACCCGAGACUGCAGCUUGUGUAGGCAGACGGGACUGUCCUGUUGCAGCAGCAUCUUUUGACACAAGAGAACAGCACAGAGUUUGUGUCCGAUCCAAUAGCAGCAACCCACCAGCUGUGAAAAGUGUUGCCCCGUCCAGGUCUGGCUGCGCUGCUGCUGCUGACUGACAGCAGGCUUAAUAUUUGAUGAGGGACUCGGGGAUGAACCAAAGGUUGGUCUCUCAGAGUGUGUGAUGCAGGGAACACCCAAGCCCUCCGCUAUUGUUAUCCCCCCCCCCCCACCGACCUGCCCUGCUAUUCAUAGACCGGAGGAUAGGGUUCUGCAGUCCCACUCAGGGUUUCACCGACAAGAGAAACACAAUGAAGUCAGAAUAACAAAGGUUGCUGUGGCCUUCUCAUCACUAUCAUGUGAGCUGCUCCAUAACGGGAUUGCCAGAAUGAUGGACAGUUUAAAUGGAGGAGAGGGCUUGUCUAAGUUUUCUGAGGAUAUUACACUCUUUAUGCAGCUGCAAACUACAUUGAUGUAAUGCACACUGCUCUCCAAAAGCAAUCUUAAAAUUAUCUGCAAGAUUUUUUUUUGCAUAUAUUCAGUUAAAUUGUGCAGUUUGAUGGAUUUUAACUGUAUUGUAUGUGCAUACAACUGGGCACAUUUUACUGUCUGAUGAAUGGAGAUGAUUUCAUCACUAUAUUACACUAUAGAAGAGGUCAGGUGAGUUGCGGACACGAGGACCAAUGUGACCAGUUGUAAAAGACUGCAGCAUUUCCUGUAAAUGUUAUGUAUAAACUAAAAUGAACAAAGCAGCAGUUUUGUCCAGAAGUCUACAGUAAACCUGUCAAGUUUAUUUUCAUGAAUGCCAUCCUGCUACAUAAAGUUUUAAUUUUUCUGACUGUUACACUACAUUUUCUCUUACUUUUCCAUUAAAAGGUUGAAAGAGUUUAUUACCUCA